GACCAAUACCUAAGACCCAAGAUCAAGCAUAAAUAAAAAGAAUGCAAUAACUUUUUAUGUUCCAGUUUUGACUAUAAACUAGGUGGUGAGGAUGAAAGAAAACAAGCAUAAGCCACUUUAAUCAUUUCACUUAAAAGGUAAACAGAGCAUUCAGCCAACUCUUAUAUUGAAAAGUUACCAAGCUAUUCAAUUCACCUCUCUUCUCUUACCCACCUUUAUUACAACCUCCUGCCUCCAUUUCAUGCCAUAAGAUUGUCCACACGUUAUUCUUCUAAAGGGCCUUAGGGACAUAUACAGUGGGACUGGGCUGGGCUAUAGCCUAGUCCAACCCCCAUCCCAUUUAAAUUUUUUAUUGUAAAAAAAAAAAAAAAAUUAUGUGUAAAUUCUUAUUUUUACAUAUUAGCCAGGCUUGGAGUUCAAUCCUAGAUCCGUCCCUAUCAAAGUAUAAUUGGAAUCGACCAUACAAGUACUAAAAGUUUAUACUAGCUUAAGCUUAAGCUAUAUAUACAUUUUAGUACUUUUGAACACUUGAAAAUCUUUCUACUAGGUUACAAAAAUGAACACUUCGACGACAUCCUUGGUAUUGAAUUGUCCUUUUCCAAUUUAAGGUUAGGAAGCCUAAAAAUUCUCAUCUUAAAUUGGAUGGCUUUUUUUCCAAAAAAAAAAAAGAAAAGGAAAAAAAAAGGUGUAUUGCUAUCAAUUAAUCGAUUUGAGGCACUCUCUUUUUUAUUAACAUGAUCAAGCAAAAUUGUAUUUUCAUCGGAGAAAGAUCAAUCUUAGAACACGAUUAUGUGAAACUUAAUCUCGAAAGCAAUUGGUGAAGACAUAAGCAAUUGUUGAUCAUAAGAAUGUACAUAAGUGUGUGCAGCUACUUUUCGAAGUUGGAGCAAAUUAGCUUAUUUUCAAAUAAUUCGAAAUUUAUAAAGCAAUUUUAAUUACAUCCAAUCCAAUAGUGAGAAAGAAUU
This 965-nucleotide long non-coding RNA is filed under the name Olea europaea subsp. europaea. Lineage: Eukaryota; Viridiplantae; Streptophyta; Magnoliopsida; Lamiales; Oleaceae. The record is from RNAcentral.